AAAUCUCAAACCAAGCUUUUCUUGACUUCGGUCGAAGGCUCGGGUUUGGACCGUUGGGAGUCUGCGGGCGACGCAUGUCGUCGGCUCUCCUGAAAUGCAUUAGCGGUGGGCAUGCAAGUCUUGCUUGGCACCAGCCUCUCCCGGCGUCAUAGUGAUCGUCGCGGGCUGUCCAGCUGCAAGGGACAUGUCCCAUGCUUCUCCAACUUUGCGAGCCCUCUCCUGGGCUCUGCGUUCGAAG
RNAcentral lists this unclassified non-coding RNA (238 nucleotides) under uncultured Pisolithus. RNAcentral describes it as "sequence contains ITS2". Lineage: Eukaryota; Fungi; Basidiomycota; Agaricomycetes; Boletales. The record is from RNAcentral.